RNAcentral lists this ribosomal RNA (548 nucleotides) under uncultured bacterium. Its description in RNAcentral is "partial 16S ribosomal RNA". It matches the Rfam family "Bacterial small subunit ribosomal RNA", at positions 355 to 895 of the family's 1533-position model. The record is from RNAcentral.
UGGGGAAUAUUGGACAAUGGGCGCAAGCCUGAUCCAGCAAUGCCGCGUGUGUGAAGAAGGCCUUCGGGUUGUAAAGCACUUUUAUCAGGAGCGAAACGCUGUCGGCUAAUACCCGGCGGAACUGACGGUACCUGAGGAAUAAGCACCGGCUAACUUCGUGCCAGCAGCCGCGGUAAUACGAAGGGUGCAAGCGUUAAUCGGAAUUACUGGGCGUAAAGCGUGCGUAGGCGGUUUCUUAAGUCUGCUGUGAAAUCCCCGGGCUCAACCUGGGAAUGGCAGUGGAUACUGGGAGGCUAGAGUGUGUCAGAGGGUGGUGGAAUUCCCGGUGUAGCGGUGAAAUGCGUAGAGAUCGGGAGGAACAUCAGUGGCGAAGGCGGCCACCUGGGACAACACUGACGCUGAGGCACGAAAGCGUGGGGAGCAAACAGGAUUAGAUACCCUGGUAGUCCACGCCCUAAACGAUGCGAACUGGAUGUUGUCUCAACUCGGAGAUCAGUGUCGAAGCUAACGCGUUAAGUUCGCCGCCUGGGGAGUACGGUCGCAAGACU